AGUGCAGUGGUGUUUACAACUAAUUGAUCACAACCAGUUACAGAUUUCUUUGUUCCUUCUCCACUCCCACUGCUUCACU
Molecule: Y RNA, 79 nt
Organism: Callithrix jacchus (white-tufted-ear marmoset)
Lineage: Eukaryota; Metazoa; Chordata; Mammalia; Primates; Cebidae
Rfam family: Y RNA
About the family: Y RNAs are components of the Ro ribonucleoprotein particle (Ro RNP), in association with Ro60 and La proteins. The Y RNAs and Ro60 and La proteins are well conserved, but the function of the Ro RNP is not known.
Source: Ensembl